GUCCAGACUCCUACGGGAGGCAGCAGUGGGGAAUAUUGGACAAUGGGGGGAACCCUGAUCCAGCGACGCCGCGUGAGUGAAGAAGUAUUUCGGUAUGUAAAACUCUAUCAGCAGGGAAGAAAGAAAUGACGGUACCUGACUAAGAAGCCCCGGCUAACUACGUGCCAGCAGCCGCGGUAAUACGUAGGGAGCAAGCGUUGUCCGGAUUUACUGGGUGUAAAGGGUGCGUAGGCGGCUUUGCAAGUCAGAAGUGAAAUCCAUGGGCUUAACCCAUGAACUGCUUUUGAAACUGCAGAGCUUGAGUGGAGUAGAGGUAGGCGGAAUUCCCGGUGUAGCGGUGAAAUGCGUAGAGAUCGGGAGGAACACCAGUGGCGAAGGCGGCCUACUGGGCUCUAACUGACGCUGAGGCACGAAAGCGUGGGUAGCAAACAGGAUUAGAUACCCGAGUAAA
RNAcentral lists this ribosomal RNA (451 nucleotides) under uncultured bacterium. Its description in RNAcentral is "bacterial SSU rRNA". It matches the Rfam family "Bacterial small subunit ribosomal RNA", at positions 329 to 794 of the family's 1533-position model. The record is from RNAcentral.